GACGAACGCUGGCGGCGUGCUUCAUACAUGCAAGUCGAACGAGAAUCUCUAGCUUGCUAGAGAGGAAAGUGGCGGACGGGUGAGUAAUAUAUAGGAAAUCUGCCCUUAGGUGGGGGACAACAGUUGGAAACGACUGCUAAUACCGCAUAUGAGCUACACUGAAAUGUGUAUCUUGAAAACUCUGGUGCCUAAGGAUGAGCCUGUAGCUGAUUAGCUAGUUGGUGGUGUAAUGGACUACCAAGGCGACGAUCAGUAGCUGGUUUGAGAGGAUGAUCAGCCACAAUGGGACUGAGACACGGCCCAU
This 304-nucleotide ribosomal RNA is filed under the name uncultured bacterium. RNAcentral describes it as "bacterial SSU rRNA". It matches the Rfam family "Bacterial small subunit ribosomal RNA", at positions 28 to 334 of the family's 1533-position model. The record is from RNAcentral.